UAGGGAAUCUUGCGCAAUGGGCGAAAGCCUGACGCAGCCAUGCCGCGUGAAUGAUGAAGGUCUUAGGAUUGUAAAAUUCUUUCACCGGGGAAGAUAAUGACGGUACCCGGAGAAGAAGCCCCGGCUAACUUCGUGCCAGCAGCCGCGGUAAUACGAAGGGGGCUAGCGUUGCUCGGAAUUACUGGGCGUAAAGGGCGCGUAGGCGGAUAUUUAAGUUGGGGGUGAAAGCCCGGGGCUCAACUUCGGAAUAGCCUUCAAUACUGGAUAUCUUGAGUUCGGGAGAGGUGAGUGGAAUGCCGAGUGUAGAGGUGAAAUUCGUAGAUAUUCGGCGGAACACCAGUGGCGAAGGCGACUCACUGGCCCGAUACUGACGCUGAGGCGCGAAAGCGUGGGGAGCAAACAGGAUUAGAUACCCUGGUAGUCCACGCCGUAAAACGAUGAGUGCUAGUUGUCGGCAUGCAUGCAUGUCGGUGACGCAGCUAACGCAUUAAGCACUCCGCCUGGGGAGUACGGUCGCAAGAUUAAAAACUCAAAGGAAUUGACGGGGGUCAUAGCUGUUUCCUG
Molecule: ribosomal RNA, 564 nt
Filed under: uncultured bacterium
Lineage: Bacteria
Description: partial 16S ribosomal RNA
Rfam family: Bacterial small subunit ribosomal RNA
Source: RNAcentral